RNAcentral lists this ribosomal RNA (292 nucleotides) under uncultured bacterium. Its description in RNAcentral is "partial 16S ribosomal RNA". The record is from RNAcentral.
GGACUACUAGGGUUUCUAAUCCUGUUUGCUCCCCUUGCUUUCGCGCCUCAGCGUCAGUGUUAGCCCAGAAAACCGUCUUCACCACCGGUGUUCUUCCACAUAUCUACGCAUUUCACCGCUACACGUGGAAUUCCGUUUUCCCUAACUAAACUCUAGUUUAGAAGUUUCAAAUGCAGCUCCGGGGUUGAGCCCCGGAAUUUCACAUCUGACUUUCUAAACCGCCUACGCGCCCUUUACGCCCAGUAAUUCCGAUCAAUGCUUGCACCCUCCGUAUUACCGCGGCGGCUGGCAC